AUUGAACGCUGGCGGAAUGCUUUACACAUGCAAGUCGAACGGCAGCACGGGGGCAGCCCUGGUGGCGAGUGGCGAACGGGUGAGUAAUACAUCGGAACGUGCCCGGUCGUGGGGGAUAACGUAGCGAAAGUUACGCUAAUACCGCAUACGAUCUGAGGAUGAAAGCGGGGGACCUUCGGGCCUCGCGCGAUCGGAGCGGCCGAUGUCAGAUUAGGUAGUUGGUGGGGUAAAGGCUUACCAAGCCGACGAUCUGUAGCUGGUCUGAGAGGACGACCAGCCACACUGGGACUGAGACACGGCCCAGACUCCUACGGGAGGCAGCAGUGGGGAAUUUUGGACAAUGGGCGCAAGCCUGAUCCAGCCAUUCCGCGUGCAGGACGAAGGCCUUCGGGUUGUAAACUGCUUUUGUACGGAACGAAAAGGCUCUGGCUAAUACCUGGGGCUCAUGACGGUACCGUAAGAAUAAGCACCGGCUAACUACGUG
Molecule: ribosomal RNA, 484 nt
Filed under: uncultured bacterium
Lineage: Bacteria
Description: partial 16S ribosomal RNA
Rfam family: Bacterial small subunit ribosomal RNA
Source: RNAcentral